AGAGUUUGAUCAUGGCUCAGGAUGAACGCUAGCGGCAGGCUUAAUACAUGCAAGUCGAACGGUAUAAGUGGUAGCAAUAUUGCUUAGAGAGUGACGUACGGGUGCGUAACACGUAUGCAACCUACCCAAAACAGGAGGAUAGCUCGGGGAAACUCGAAUUAACCCUUCAUAGUAUCAUUAGGUGGCAUCACCAGAUGAUUAAAACUCCGGUGGUUUUGGAUGGGCAUGCGUCUGAUUAGUUAGUUGGCGGGGUAACGGCCCACCAAGACGAUGAUCAGUAGGGGAACUGAGAGGUUGAUCCCCCACACUGGCACUGAGAUACGGGCCAGACUCCUACGGGAGGCAGCAGUAGGGAAUAUUGGUCAAUGGGUGAGGGCCUGAACCAGCCAUGCCGCGUGCAGGAAGACGGCCUUCUGGGUUGUAAACUGCUUUUGUCAGGGGAUAAAAAUACCUUGCGAGGUAAAUUGAAGGUACCUGACGAAUAAGCCACGGCUAACUACGUGCCAGCAGCCGCGGUAAUACGUAGGUGGCAAGCGUUGUCCGGAUUUAUUGGGUUUAAAGGGUGCGUAGGCGGCUUUGUAAGUCAGUGGUGAAAUAUGUCAGCUUAACUGAGAGGGUGCCAUUGAUACUGCAGAGCUUGAGUACAGAUGAGGUAGGCGGAAUUGACGGUGUAGCGGUGAAAUGCUUAGAUAUCGUCAAGAACACCUAUAGCGAAGGC
This 718-nucleotide ribosomal RNA is filed under the name uncultured bacterium. RNAcentral's name for it is "bacterial SSU rRNA". It matches the Rfam family "Bacterial small subunit ribosomal RNA", at positions 8 to 722 of the family's 1533-position model. The record is from RNAcentral.